CAGAGGGUGCGAGCGUUAAUCGGAAUUACUGGGCGUAAAGCGUGCGUAGACGGUUAUUUAAGUCGGGUGUGAAAGCCCCGGGCUCAACCUGGGAAUUGCAUUCGAGACUGAAUAGCUAGGGUACGGUAGAGGGGAGCGGAAUUUCCGGUGUAGCGGUGAAAUGCGUAGAUAUCGGAAGGAACAUCAGUGGCGAAAGCGGCUUCCUGGACCAGUACCGACGUUCAGGCACGAAAGCGUGGGGAGCAAACAGGAUUAGAUACCCUGGUAGUCCACGCCAUAAACGAUGAGGACUAGACGUUGGAGGGGUAAGCCUUUCAGUGUCGUAGCUAACGCGCUAAGUCCUCCGCCUGGGGAGUACGGCCGCAAGGUUG
RNAcentral lists this ribosomal RNA (371 nucleotides) under uncultured organism. RNAcentral's name for it is "bacterial SSU rRNA". It matches the Rfam family "Bacterial small subunit ribosomal RNA", at positions 526 to 896 of the family's 1533-position model. The record is from RNAcentral.